CACGUGGUAUCCUGUCUGAAUAUGGGGGGACCAUCCUCCAAGGCUAAAUACUCCUGACUGACCGAUAGUGAACCAGUACCGUGAGGGAAAGGCGAAAAGAACCCCGGCGAGGGGAGUGAAAAAGAACCUGAAACCGUGUACGUACAAGCAGUGGGAGCACGCUUAGGCGUGUGACUGCGUACCUUUUGUAUAAUGGGUCAGCGACUUAUAUUCUGUAGCAAGGUUAACCGAAUAGGGGAGCCGAAGGGAAACCGAGUCUUAACUGGGCGUUAAGUUGCAGGGUAUAGACCCGAAACCCGGUGAUCUAGCCAUGGGCAGGUUGAAGGUUGGGUAACACUAACUGGAGGACCGAACCGACUAAUGUUGAAAAAUUAGCGGAUGACUUGUGGCUGGGGGUGAAAGGCCAAUCAAACCGGGAGAUAGCUGGUUCUCCCCGAAAGCUAUUUAGGUAGCGCCUCGUGAAUUCAUCUCCGGGGGUAGAGCACUGUUUCGGCAAGGGGGUCAUCCCGACUUACCAACCCGAUGCAAACUGCGAAUACCGGAGAAUGUUAUCACGGGAGACACACGGCGGGUGCUAACGUCCGUCGUGAA
Molecule: ribosomal RNA, 591 nt
Filed under: Escherichia coli
Lineage: Bacteria; Pseudomonadati; Pseudomonadota; Gammaproteobacteria; Enterobacterales; Enterobacteriaceae
Description: partial 23S ribosomal RNA
Rfam family: Bacterial large subunit ribosomal RNA
Source: RNAcentral